GGCUGAAAGCAAUGAUCUUGCCAGUCAUCCUUUCACGUAUUCAUUAUGGUCUACAGCUGAGAAGGGCUGUUUGGGGUUUGCUUUGCCUGAUGGUAGCAGAAGAAAACCAAGAGGCCUCUCUACGAAAGCUUGCAGUAAGGAGAAAGUUCUGGAGACUGGGAAGAGCAAUACAAAGAUAUUCAGUUGCUUGGUGAGAGCUGCUCUCUGCUUCCAAGGUGGCACCUUGUUGCUGCAUCCUCCAAUGGGAAGGAACGCUGGGUCCUCACAUGACAGAAGGUGGAAAGAAAUCAGCAAAUGUCUUGUUGUGAAACAACCUGAACAUACAGAUGUCCUAGAAUGGAGGUGAAGAGAGCAUUUAGAAGGACAAUCUAGGAUGUAAUGAAGUUAUUCCAAGAGUUAGCACCUCUGUAUACUCAAGAUCUCUGUCCAGUGAAUCCCUUGCCAUUCUAAUGACAGUUCCAUUUUCAAUGUCUUGAUUUUCUAAAGUAUCUACAAGCAUCUUGAGAUACAUAGAUGAGGUUUGGGAAUUAGUAAGAAGGAUAGGCAGAGAUCUGGGAACCUGAUGUGGGAGGAAAUCUUAUCUGUGACCACCAUUUUGUCAGGAGUCACAGGAUUCUAUAGCUGCAGCAAACCUGGAGCAAACUGGUCCCCACCAAUCUGGGUGAGACAAACCAAUGAUGACUGAAAAUCACAAUAAAAUUGUAAUACUCAAGAU
RNAcentral lists this long non-coding RNA (715 nucleotides) under Pongo abelii (Sumatran orangutan). Its description in RNAcentral is "lincRNA". Lineage: Eukaryota; Metazoa; Chordata; Mammalia; Primates; Hominidae. The record is from RNAcentral.